UAUCUCUGUAGAGUCUGCAUAUCAAUAAGCGGAGGAAAAGAAACUAACAAGGAUUCCCUUAGUAACGGCGAGUGAAGCGGGAAGAGCUCAAAUUUGAAAUCUUCAAGGUUUUACCUUGACGAAUUGUAGUUUAAAGAAGUGUUUUCUGUUGAAGUUUCGGUAAAAGUUCUUUGGAAUAGGACAUCAUAGAGGGUGAGAAUCCCGUAUUUGACCGUUAUUUUCAGCUGUGUGAUACACUUUCAAAGAGUCGGAUUGUUUGGGAAUGCAGUCCAAAAUGGGUGGUAAAUUUCAUCUAAAGCUAAAUAUUGGCGAGAGACCGAUAGCGAACAAGUACCGUGAGGGAAAGAUGAAAAGAACUUUGAAAAGAGAGUUAAACAGUACGUGAAAUUGUCAAAAGGGAAGCGUUUGACACCAGUGUUGUUUUCUCGAAAAUCAAUUAAAAAUGGCUUGAUUUUGUGUUGUAUUGACCUUAAAAGCUUUCUUCACUUUUUUCAUGUCUUUUUUAAUGCACUUUUCGUUUAACAAGUCAACAUCAGUUUCUUUUGUUGUAAAAAGGUCAUUGGAAGGUGGCUUUCUUUUCGGAGAAAGUGUUUAUAGCCUUUGACUCCUGCAAUCGGAGAGACUGAGGUCUGCAGCGUAGAUCCUUCUGGAUUAGAUUCAUUUGUGCUAAGUUACAACCGUUUAUAGACAACUUGUUGACUAUAUUCGACCCUGUAGCUUACUCGCUUAUGUAAUUUUACCUACGCUUAGGAUGUUGACUGAUAUGUAGUCGUA
Molecule: ribosomal RNA, 774 nt
Filed under: uncultured Neocallimastigales
Lineage: Eukaryota; Fungi; Neocallimastigomycota; Neocallimastigomycetes; Neocallimastigales
Description: partial large subunit ribosomal RNA
Rfam family: Eukaryotic large subunit ribosomal RNA
Source: RNAcentral